UACAGAGGUCCCGAGCGUUGUUCGGAUUCAUUGGGCGUAAAGGGUGCGUAGGCGGUGGUGUAAGUUGGAUGUGAAAUCUUGGGGCUUAACCUCAAAAUUGCAUUCAAUACUGCUCCGCUCGAGCGCUGUAGAGGAGAUUGGAAUUUACGGUGUAGCAGUGAAAUGCGUAGAUAUCGUAAGGAACACCAGUGGCGAAAGCGAAUCUCUGGACAGCAGCUGACGCUGAGGCACGAAGGCCAGGGGAGCAAACGGGAUUAGAAACCCCCGUAGUCC
RNAcentral lists this ribosomal RNA (273 nucleotides) under uncultured bacterium. RNAcentral describes it as "partial 16S ribosomal RNA". It matches the Rfam family "Bacterial small subunit ribosomal RNA", at positions 524 to 796 of the family's 1533-position model. The record is from RNAcentral.